GUGCCCUCGAGCGACCCACAAUUCCCUCACCCUGGCUAGGGUUCCUAGCCCCUCCUCCUCCCCCGCCCCUCCUACUCCGCCGCCGCCGCUGAGUGCUUCCUGACCUCGCCGGGAGCAGAUAGCAGGACCCCACCGCCGUGCCUCCCUCUCUCCUUUCUCCUCUUUCCUCUCUCUCUCUCUCUCUUUUCUCUAAACUACGUGACGUUCCUCUCUACAUGUGCCUUCAUGGCCGCGUCAUGGAUCUCGGCGCCGUGGGCUGCUUGCUCCUCCUCUGACGGUCUGCGCAGGUGAUGGCGAGCUAUGUAGGUCAGUACCUCCUCUCAUCUUUCUGCCAAGGAUGCCUUGGCCUCUCCUUUCUCUGUCUGCAAGUGAUGGCAGCGGGGGAUCCGGGGCCGGUUGCGAACGGGAAUGAGGACUAGUGGCAGCAGGGAAUGAGAUCUGGUAGCGGUCUACUCCUCUCUCUCUCUCUCUCUCUCUCUCUCUCUCUCUCUCGAUGCUGGACUGCUGGUGUCGCCGAUGCAGUAUCAAGUUAGGGUGAUCUUAGUCUUCUUCAAGGUGUUGACAGAACUGAAGAAGAGGUACAGUGCCAUGAGCCCAUGAGAAACUUUGUGAUGCAAAUGAAUCAUCUCUGACUCUCUGUAACUUUGUGAUUUUUCGACAGUGACAAGUUGACAAUGAACUAUUUUCCUGCUUGACUUGAAUCGUCAAUGUAAUAUGUUAUGUAUUGCUGGUGACAUUUUAUGUAUUGCUUUGGUUUGUCCACAGUCAACCAAAUUAUGGAGUUUCAGUCAUAUAUGUUGUCUGUUAUUUCAUACUCGCCGGUCUCCGACCGCCGGCGUCGGCAGCACCGCCGCCUCCUCCAACACUCUUUGUCGGCCGCCCGCGUGCCGGUGCGAGGUAAGCUCGAUGCUCUCGGCAAGGUAUGUGAUCAGAUUCAGAUGGGCUCUUCUUCAGUUGCUCUAUCUGCCUUUUAUUUGAACGGAUCCGACGCUGGGAAAUUUUAUUUCAGGAAGCCAUGGAGCUGAGGGAGCAGGCGCAAAAUCUAUGGUACACAUCAAAUCGAAUCAAUAGUGGUUUUCUACAGGCACAUCAGUGCAAAAAAAUGACAAUUGAUAGCCUCUCCUUUUAGCUAUCAUACCAUGUGUUGUGUCACUAAGUUACAGUAUCAACUGCGGUCUACAUAUUUUCAUAUUACUGAAGUUUAUAGCCCUCCAAUGCAGUAUCAGUAUGCUUUAUAAAAUUAUUCGAGUAUUGCAAAAUUGCAUGAUACAUCAAAUUGGAGCGUAUUCUAUUUUUUAUGGACUGCGGACUUAUGUUGCUUAUUUAGAGGCUGCCGUACAUGGAUCAGGUAUGAUAUUGAUUGCAGAAAUUUCUAUACGACUCUUGUGAAUUUCGACCUUGUUCUUCUUGAUUUAGGAGAACUACAAUUUUUUGGUGCAUGAUCUAAAAUAGUUGCAACAAAUCCUCCCCUAAUGUUCUUAAUGUUCUAUGGUAAAUUACUCUAAUGUUUCAAUGGAUAAUAUAUGGUAUUGACUUGGACAUUGGUGUUGUGGAACACUCUAGAAGGUUUUGGAACUUAUAGAAGUAUCAGUUGGCAGGGUCUGAAAAUCAUGGUGUAAGUGUUUCAGCCUAUUAAUCUGUAGAUAAAAAAGUUUGUACAUCUCUACCAAUAAGGCAAUAAUCCCGAAGAAAGUUCUACUAUUGCAAACGCUCCAACUGAACAAGGAAUAUGAAUGUUUAAAUGAAGAAAGAAGCCAGUUUCUCGAGAAGGAAUACAGAAUAAUAUUUUGGAUUAUUUACUUGAGAUUUCUUCCAAGUCCAUGACCUCUGUAUGUUGAUUGUUUUAGAUGGUUUUCCCCGGUGAGAACAUUUUGAAGGUUAUCUCUUGAGGUUCUUGUAUUUAGCUCACGGCUCCAACUUUUCUUGAAGGGAAACUCAAGAUACAUAAAUUGUACCAUGAAUCAGACAUGUGUGUGCGAGGAAGGGAAGAGGAGAGAAACUUUGACAUUUUUCAUAACUUUCUUUUUCCGUGGCAACGCAUGACCGUGGCACCUUACAAGAUGAUAAAGAUCAACACGGAUGUUCUGAUGUUCUGAUAACUGCAAAAUAGGAAUGCAUGCAUCAAUGGGCAUGAAGGGCGUGGGUUGAAGACCAAAUAUUCUACACUGUUCGGUCUAUUUAAAGUGCAGAGGCUUCGAAAUCAGCACGCAUGCCAGCUUUUCCUAUGAGCCCGAGUCCAUUAUCUUGCCCUGUGGCAAAGAAGUAUAUUUUAAGUUUCUUGGGUGCGUCUAUUAGCUGCUAAGGUGGAUUUAAUCAGGCAGCUUAUUGAUCUCAAGAACUCUUCAAUCUCAGAUGGUCAUCUCCCUUUCCAGCUGACAUAGAAAGAAAAACUCAAUGGUGAUCCCAACAUCUAGAGCCACUUUUAAUCUAUGGGAGCUCAAUUCAUUCUUUUAACAAAAAUGUGAGUUUGGAUGCGGUCUUCAGAUGAAUCAAGCCUGAGAUCCACAGGUGUCGUGGGCUAAUUAGCUGUGAGUUCCAAAGAUGCAAAGUAUUUUGUACCCUCCAUUUGGAAAUACUUGCCGCAUAAAUGGACAAAAGAAUAUGUAUCUAGAACUAUAAUAUGUCUAGGUACAUCUUUCUCAUACAAUAAUUUCGGACGGAGGGAGUAUGUUUCAUGAAAGAAUAUUAACGCAACAACUAAUUUAUGAUAACUACAGUAUCAUUUGGAUCCUAUAAAUGGCAUGUAUAUCAUCUUCCUCUGGUUUCUAUCAAUAGGAAAGCUACGCUUGAUAAUGCACUC
Long non-coding RNA from Triticum dicoccoides, 2800 nucleotides. RefSeq lists it as uncharacterized. Lineage: Eukaryota; Viridiplantae; Streptophyta; Magnoliopsida; Poales; Poaceae. The record is from RefSeq and is a predicted model, not a curated record. The transcript is spliced from 5 exons.